This 417-nucleotide ribosomal RNA is filed under the name uncultured bacterium. RNAcentral describes it as "partial 16S ribosomal RNA". It matches the Rfam family "Bacterial small subunit ribosomal RNA", at positions 360 to 774 of the family's 1533-position model. The record is from RNAcentral.
AAUAUUGGUCAAUGGAGGCAACUCCGAACCAGCCAAGUCGCGUGAAGGAUGACUGCCCUACGGGUUGUAAACUUCUUUUUUAAGGGAAUAAAGUGAGCCACGUGUGGCUUUUUGCAUGUAUCUUACGCAUAAGGAUCGGUGAACUCCGUGCCAGUAGCCGCGGUAAUACGGAGGAUCCGAGCGUUAUCCGGAUUUAUUGGGUUUCAAGGGUGCGCAGGCGGAAUAUUAAGUCGGCGGUGAAAGUUUGCAGCUUAACUGUAAAAUUGCCGUUGAAACUGGUUUUCUUGAGUGUAUAUGAAGUAGGCGGAAUUUGUAGUGUAGCGGUGAAAUGCAUAGAUAUUACAAGGAACUCCGAUUGCGAAGGCAGCUUACUAAAAUACAGCUGACGCUCAGGCACGAAGGCGUGGGUAUCAAACA